UACAGAGGGUGCGAGCGUUAAUCGGAGUUACUGGGCGUAAAGGGUGCGUAGGCGGCGCGGUAAGUCGGGUGUGAAAUCUCGGAGCUUAACUCCGAAACUGCAUUCGAUACUGCCGUGCUUGAGGACUGGAGAGGAGACUGGAAUUUACGGUGUAGCGGUGAAAUGCGUAGAUAUCGUAAGGAAGACCAGUGGCGAAGGCGGGUCUCUGGACAGUUCCUGACGCUGAGGCACGAAGGUCAGGGGAGCAAACGGG
This 253-nucleotide ribosomal RNA is filed under the name uncultured bacterium. Its description in RNAcentral is "partial 16S ribosomal RNA". It matches the Rfam family "Bacterial small subunit ribosomal RNA", at positions 524 to 776 of the family's 1533-position model. The record is from RNAcentral.